This 350-nucleotide ribosomal RNA is filed under the name uncultured bacterium. RNAcentral's name for it is "bacterial SSU rRNA". It matches the Rfam family "Bacterial small subunit ribosomal RNA", at positions 976 to 1325 of the family's 1533-position model. The record is from RNAcentral.
UGGGUUUGACAUGCAGAGGACAGGUGUAGAAAUACACCCUCCCUUCGGGGUCUCUGUACAGGUGCUGCAUGGCUGUCGUCAGCUCGUGUCGUGAGAUGUUGGGUUAAGUCCCGCAACGAGCGCAACCCUUGCCUUUAGUUGCUAGCGCGUAAUGGCGAGCACUCUAGAGGGACUGCCGGUGGUAAGCCGGAGGAAGGUGGGGAUGACGUCAAGUCCUCAUGGCCCUUACAUCCAGGGCUACACACGUGCUACAAUGGCCGAUACAAAGGGCUCCGAUACCGCGAGGUGGAGGCAAUCCCAAAAAAUCGGUCUCAGUUCGGAUUGCAGUCUGCAACUCGACUGCAUGAAGG